This 466-nucleotide ribosomal RNA is filed under the name uncultured Gammaproteobacteria bacterium. RNAcentral's name for it is "bacterial SSU rRNA". It matches the Rfam family "Bacterial small subunit ribosomal RNA", at positions 29 to 482 of the family's 1533-position model. The record is from RNAcentral. Lineage: Bacteria; Pseudomonadati; Pseudomonadota; Gammaproteobacteria.
AACGAACGCUGGCGGCGCGUCUUAAGCAUGCAAGUCGAGCGGUAAGGUGGUGCUUGCACUACCCGAGAGCGGCGGACUGGUGAGUAACGCGUGGGUGACCUACCUUGAGGUUGGGGAUAGCCAUUAGAAAUAGUGGGUAAUACCGAAUGUGGUUACCGGGUUUUGACCUGGUAAAGAAAGGAGCUUUGGCUCCGCCUUAAGAUGGGCCCGCGUCCCAUUAGCUAGUUGGUGAGGUAAGAGCCCACCAAGGCUCUGAUGGGUAGCCGGCCUGAGAGGGUGAACGGCCACACUGGGACUGAGAUACGGCCCAGACUCCUACGGGAGGCAGCAGCUAAGAAUAUUCCGCAAUGGACGAAAGUCUGACGGAGCGACGCCGCGUGGAUGACGAAGGCCGGAAGGUUGUAAAAUCCUUUUGCCAGUGAAGAAUAAGUGCGGGAGGGAAUGCCCGCAUGAUGACGUUAGCUGG